RNAcentral lists this long non-coding RNA (698 nucleotides) under Phasianus colchicus (ring-necked pheasant). RNAcentral's name for it is "lncRNA (ENSPCLG00000021437.1)". Lineage: Eukaryota; Metazoa; Chordata; Aves; Galliformes; Phasianidae. The record is from RNAcentral.
AUCUAAAGGAAAAAAAGGAAAAUUGAAGGGAAAACUGUGUAUAAAAUCAGUGAGUCAAAAAGAUAAACACUAAGCUGAAGCACUGAAUAUUCAAUUCUUUUUUUUUACAAAUACAGAAGCUGGCAUUUUAAUUAACAGAGGAAUUAGAUAAUUCUGACUUCAAAGAAGGUGAAGAUGGAACAGAUAUACAAAAUCAACUACAAAAGCCUGGUGUUCACCGCCAUCCAUAGAAAAGGAAGUGUUCAGCACCUAGCAGGUGAAUAAAGGACCUGGCCAUAAACUUAACUUUACUAUUAGUUAUUUAUGCCAAAAGUCUGAACUCUCUUUUCUGAGUACUGGAGUUAGUAGUCAAAAUACAAUUUUCUUGAAAAGCGAUGUUUAUUCUUCUUGAGCUUCAUUGUGUGAUUGAUGUUUGUCUGACUGCCAUCAAAUAGCAGUUCAGUUUUCCAAUACUUUUAUUUAAAAUCAGUGUGAUCAUAAGGACAGAAAGGGCUUUGUUCUAAAUUAUUUGUAAAGCAUUUUCAGAGCAUAGUAUGUGUGUAAUACAUAAGCUUUCGAAUAGAUGAAAGUUUGAGAAUCUAAAGCUCCUAUGUCAAAAUCAUUUUCUAUAGCUGGUAAUGGCAUUUUAUGGAAGGAAUACAAAAAAAUUUUGAGAUCAGUUUUAAUGAGAUGAUAGAAGAUACUCACAAAUCACCAGG